CCAGUAGUGUAUGCUUCUCCUAAAGACUAAGCCAUGCAUGCCUCCGAAUAGAAGAGCAUUCUCUCUGAAUCUGCGAACGGCUCCGCAAACCAGUUGUAAUUUAUGGCAAGCAAGCUUCGGGUGCUGGUCGCAAGACUGGUGCCUGGAGUAAUAGGGAUAACCCUGGUAAUUCUGAGGCUAAUACAAGCGACGUAUCGUCUGGUCUGACAGCAAUGGAGGAUCGGAUGGACGUGUGAGUAGGACGCAAGGUUUUGCUGGGAAUGGGUGCACGUUUAGACCACCAUACAAACAGUCUGGGUGCUGGAACCCUCACGGGUAAAGGCGCCUUGUCUGGGUGGCUCUUGCAGUGUGCUUCUGACCUAUCAACUAGAUGGCAGCAUAAAGGACAUGCCAUGGUUACAACGGGUACAGAGGAUAAGGGUUCGAUCCUGGAGAGUGGGCCUGAGAGAUUGCUCACACUUCUAAGGAAGGCAGCAGGCGCGCAACGUUCCCCUUGGGCAAUGCUCGAGGGCGUUAGGGGAAAUAUGAAUGUCUGCCUUAUGGUGGACAAUUCAAAUGG
RNAcentral lists this ribosomal RNA (559 nucleotides) under Physarum decipiens. Its description in RNAcentral is "SSU rRNA". It matches the Rfam family "Eukaryotic small subunit ribosomal RNA", at positions 17 to 517 of the family's 1831-position model. The record is from RNAcentral. Lineage: Eukaryota; Evosea; Eumycetozoa; Physariida; Physaraceae.